UACGUAGGGUGCGAGCGUUAAUCGGAAUUACUGGGCGUAAAGCGUGCGCAGGCGGUGAGCUGUGUCCGAUGUGAAAGCCCCGGGCUUAACCUGGGAAUGGCAUUGGAAACUGGCUCGCUGGAGUGUGGCAGAGGGGGGUGGAAUUCCGCGUGUAGCAGUGAAAUGCGUAGAGAUGCGGAGGAACACCGAUGGCGAAGGCAGCCCCCUGGGCCAACACUGACGCUCAGGCACGAAAGCGUGGGGAGCAAACAGG
RNAcentral lists this ribosomal RNA (253 nucleotides) under uncultured bacterium. RNAcentral's name for it is "partial 16S ribosomal RNA". It matches the Rfam family "Bacterial small subunit ribosomal RNA", at positions 524 to 776 of the family's 1533-position model. The record is from RNAcentral.